Molecule: ribosomal RNA, 236 nt
Filed under: uncultured bacterium
Lineage: Bacteria
Description: partial 16S ribosomal RNA
Rfam family: Bacterial small subunit ribosomal RNA
Source: RNAcentral
GUAUCAUGGCUCAGAUUGAACGCUGGCGGCAGGCCUAACACAUGCAAGUCGAACGGUAACAGGAAGCAGCUUGCUGCUUUGCUGACGAGUGGCGGACGGGUGAGUAAUGUCUGGGAAACUGCCUGAUGGAGGGGGAUAACUACUGGAAACGGUAGCUAAUACCGCAUAACGUCGCAAGACCAAAGAGGGGGGACCCUUCGGGCCUCUUGCCAUCGGAUGUGCCCAGAUGGGAUUAG